Molecule: ribosomal RNA, 449 nt
Filed under: uncultured bacterium
Lineage: Bacteria
Description: partial 16S ribosomal RNA
Rfam family: Bacterial small subunit ribosomal RNA
Source: RNAcentral
AGCGAACGCUGGCGGCAAGCUUAACACAUGCAAGUCGAACGAUGUAGCAAUACAUAGUGGCGGACGGGUGCGUAACACGUGGGAAUCUGCCUUUAGGUAAGGAAUAACUCAGGGAAACUUGAGCUAAUACCUUAUAAUGUCUUCGGACCAAAAAUUUAUUGCCUAAAGAUGAGCCCGCGGUUGAUUAGCUAGUUGGUGGGGUAAUGGCCUACCAAGGCAACGAUCUAUAGCUGGUCUUAGAGGAUGAUCAGCCACACUGGGACUGAGACACGGCCCAGACUCCUACGGGAGGCAGCAGUGGGGAAUAUUGGGCAAUGGACGAAAGUCUGACCCAGCUAUGCCGCGUGAAUGAUGAAGGCCUUAGGGUUGUAAAGUUCUUUUACCGGGGAAGAUAAUGACGGUACCCGGAGAAAAAGCUCCGGCUAACUUCGUGCCAGCAGCCGCAGUAA